This is a long non-coding RNA of Lytechinus variegatus (green sea urchin), 601 nucleotides long. RefSeq lists it as uncharacterized. The transcript has 4 exons. NCBI's taxonomy places the organism in Eukaryota, Metazoa, Echinodermata, Echinoidea, Temnopleuroida, Toxopneustidae. The record is from RefSeq and is a predicted model, not a curated record.
GAGGUUGAUUGGCACUGCAUGGCGCAUGCACCCUGCUAGCGAGAUUCGACAGCUCCAGUCGUCUUGUUAGCUAGCUAGCUAGCUUGCCGGUGCGGCCUAGCUCGAUCCCCGGCGCCGCCGGCGCUCGCUGCAUGCGUAUGCCCCAUUCGCGAGCUGGAGGAUGCGAAGAAGAUCUCGAAGUGUUCGGGCUCUCUGCAGUAACCUUCUGAUGCUGAGGAAACGGACCCAUAAGCAUGUAUUUAUAGAUUACCUGAGUGGACCUGAUGUCAGAAAUUCUACCCCAGAUCUGUAGACUGCAAGAUAAGAGAUUUUUUUCACAUAUUAUUCAGAGAUUCUGAGAAUUGGAAUAGUGAAGUUUGACCAAGUUGUGCCUGAAGACCAAAUCCUCGAAGAAGAAAUCAUAAGCCUUUACAGGUUUGGAUAUGAGUGGACCAUUCGAUUUCUUCGGUCAGUUAGAAUUUCUCCCUGACUUCCAAACCCAUAUUGUUGGACUGUUUAUGUUGCAAGACCUGUGAGGUCAUUGGUGAACUCCUUAAGAUUUACAGAAAGGAAAAAUCUUUUAUCUUAAACUCUAUACCAGGAUUUAUGUUACAGUUUAUAA